CAGGCAUAAGCAUUCAUAUCAGGGAAGAGAUCAUGUGGAAAGAAAUAAUUCUUACAUUAUAUUAAACUACUAAUAAACCAGACUAAUGAAUAGUUUAACAAACCACACAAACAGAAAUGGGAAAUAGAAAAAUUCCAUUGCACAAUGCAUUACCAUAUACUUGAGGUUCAUAUAGCUGUCUAUUGGCAAAAAUGGAACAAUAAAACAGCUAAAAUAAGGUUCAAACAAAAUCCAACAAAAAGUCAUGGGGGAACAAUCCUAAAUCGAUUUUCCCUCUAGAAGACAAGCUCAUGAGGCUUCAUUCCCGCCUUAAGAGAAAAUCUAGCUCCUAAAUAAGCCUUCAAGUCUGGAACCCCCUCAAUUGAUUUAAUCAGUGAUGCAUCCACAGUUUUCUGAUCAUCCUUCUUCUCCUGUGGAAGUACAUUCUUUUCCUGAAAAGAUUAGGACGACAACCAAUGUCAGGAUAGUGCAAUGAAACACAUAGGGUAAACAAACACUUAGGAAAUGUGAGAUAAAUAAACAAGCCAACCUCUUUCUCAGACUCAAAGAACUCGCCCUCUCCCUUCUUUUUCUUCUUCUCAGCUUGCUUGGCAAAGUAUUUGUCAUCAAACUUAUCAACAUUAAUUCCAGAGACAUCAACCUUGGUGGAAGUUGCAAUGACAUAAGAUUGGUUCACUCUCCUCAAAGGGACACCAUUGAUCUUAAAUGGUCCUGAAGCAGGCAGCAACAUAUAUCAACUAAUGAAGCAUAUGUCAACAAUCUUCCUGUUUUCAGGUAGAGCUUGGGCAUACGGCGCUCAAGCCCUCCCAUGAGAAGCAGGUAAAAAUAAAACCAAACUCUAUAAUGCUUCGAGCCUUCAAGUCAUAAAAGCUUGGCUCAUUAGCUAAACUGAGUUUCCUGAGGCAGGUUAAAUUCUUCCAACAUAGAAUUAUCAUUUGGUUUUGCUAUAAAGAUCACCCAAAUUAUACAAUAGCACCAAAGCAACACAUGCUCACCAGUGACCAAGAGCAAUCCAGAGGAAAGCUGCUUCAGGAACACGACCCUCUUACCCUUGAACCUUCCAGCAAGAAUUAUCAAAACAGUUCCUGGAGUAAUGCUAGCCCUGCAGGAAAAACAACAAAGACAAUUAGAUAUCAGUCGCUAAAUUAGAUUACAUCCACUUUAUGAGGAGAUGGAGAACCAAUACCCUCUGAAACAAAUAAAAAAGGCAUUGAACCAUAACCAUUUUCUCUAACUUUACCAGCAUCCUCUUAAUAUAACCAAACACAUGCUCGAUCACAAAUAACAGAAACCAGAGACUCAUUUCAACGACAACAAAUAACAACUAAGCCUUAAUCCCA
RNAcentral lists this unclassified non-coding RNA (1340 nucleotides) under Hevea brasiliensis (rubber tree). The record is from RNAcentral. Lineage: Eukaryota; Viridiplantae; Streptophyta; Magnoliopsida; Malpighiales; Euphorbiaceae.